GCUAAGACUGGAUAGGAAACAGAAACAUCUUUUUGUUUUUAAAAGACCUUCUUCGGAGGGUAUGCUUAAAGAGGGGCUUGCGCCACAUUAGUUAGUUGGUGAGGUAAAGGCUUACCAAGAUUAUGAUGUGUAGCUGGACUGAGAGGUUGAACAGCCACAUUGGGACUGAGACACGGCCCAAACUCCUACGGGAGGCAGCAGUAGGGAAUUUUCGGCAAUGGAGGAAACUCUGACCGAGCGACGCCGCGUGAACGAUGAAGUAUUUCGGUAUGUAAAGUUCUUUUAUUGAAGAAGAAAAAAUAGUGGAAAAACUAUAUUGACGUUAUUCAAUGAAUAAGCCCCGGCUAACUAUGUGCCAGCAGCCGCGGUAAGACAUAGGGGGCGAGCGUUAUCCGGAAUUAUUGGGCGUAAAGGGUGCGUAGGCGGUUAGAUAAGUCUAUAAUUUAAUUUCAGUGCUUAACGCUGUCUUGUUAUAGAAACUGUCUUGACUAGAGUGAGAUAGAGGCAAGCGGAAUUCCAUGUGUAGCGGUAAAAUGUGUAAAUAUAUGGAGGAACACCAGAAGCGUAGGCGGCUUGCUGGGUCUUUACUGACGCUGAGGCACGAAAGCGUGGGGAGCAAACAGGAUUAGAUACCCUGGUAGUCCACGCUGUAAACGAUGAGUACUAAGUGUCGGGGAAACUCGGUACUGAAGUUAACACAUUAAGUACUCCGCCUGAGUAGUACGUACGCAAGUAUGAAACUUAAAGGAAUUGACGGGACUCCGCACAAGCGGUGGAUCAUGUUGUUUAAUUCGAAGAUACACGAAAAACCUUACCAGGUCUUGACAUACUCUGCAAAGCUAUAGAAAUAUAGUGGAGGUUAUCAGGGAUACAGGUGGUGCAUGGUUGUCGUCAGUUCGUGUCGUGAGAUGUUAGGUUAAGUCCUAAAACGAACGCAACCCCUGUCGUUAGUUGCCAGCACGUAAUGGUGGGGACUUUAGCGAGACUGCCAAUUAAACAUUGGAGGAAGGUGGGGAUAACGUCAAAUCAUCAUGCCCCUUAUGAUCUGGGCUACAAACGUGAUACAAUGGCUAUUACAAAGAGUAGCUGAAACGCGAGUUUUUAGCCAAUCUCAAAAAGGUAGUCUCAGUACGGAUUGAAGUCUGCAACUCGACUUCAUGAAGCUGGAAUCGCUAGUAAUCGCGAAUCUGCAUGUCGCGGUG
Molecule: ribosomal RNA, 1202 nt
Filed under: Candidatus Phytoplasma ulmi
Lineage: Bacteria; Bacillati; Mycoplasmatota; Mollicutes; Acholeplasmatales; Acholeplasmataceae
Description: bacterial SSU rRNA
Rfam family: Bacterial small subunit ribosomal RNA
Source: RNAcentral